AUUCGAUUUCGCGUACGAGCACAUCUCGUGAAGCAAUUUGAAUUCGAGCUUGGAGUGUCUUGAAGUUGUGGAUCGUGCCAAGGCAUACUCAAUUGGCAGUGAGGAACGAAUUCAGGUUAUCGGGUUAUGGAGGCAUUGCAAGAGAUGAUAGGGGUAGAUGGUUAGGAGGAUUUGUGGGGCGAUUAGGUGUGGUAACAACGUUGUGUCUCACGGCAGAAUUGUGGGUCAUACAUGGCGGGCUGACCCUGGCGAAGAAGUUCAACCUAAAGAACGUCAUCAUCGAGACUGACUCUCAUGAAGCAUUGAUGCUCAUGAGAAAGGGAUGCGUUGUCGACAAUCACCCUGACCGUGACGUGAUUGAAGAGUGUCAGCGUCUUAUGUCCGAACUUGGGAUCUCCAUGGUGCAUACUCUAAGGGAAGGGAAUAGUUGUGCAGAUCACCUAGCGAAACUAGGAAGAAUGCAACUAGAUGAAGACCUCGUAAUAUUACAUCGUCCGCCACAUUCCAUGCACCA
Molecule: long non-coding RNA, 514 nt
Organism: Solanum pennellii
Lineage: Eukaryota; Viridiplantae; Streptophyta; Magnoliopsida; Solanales; Solanaceae
Exons: 3
Source: RefSeq, a predicted model, not a curated record